This 74-nucleotide ribosomal RNA is filed under the name Salmonella enterica subsp. enterica serovar Schwarzengrund. Its description in RNAcentral is "partial 16S ribosomal RNA". It matches the Rfam family "Bacterial small subunit ribosomal RNA", at positions 1 to 72 of the family's 1533-position model. Lineage: Bacteria; Pseudomonadati; Pseudomonadota; Gammaproteobacteria; Enterobacterales; Enterobacteriaceae. The record is from RNAcentral.
UUAAAUUGAAGAGUUUGAUCAUGGCUCAGAUUGAACGCUGGGGGCAGGCCUAACACAUGCAAGUCGAACGGUAA